This 561-nucleotide ribosomal RNA is filed under the name Massilia agri. RNAcentral describes it as "bacterial SSU rRNA". It matches the Rfam family "Bacterial small subunit ribosomal RNA", at positions 328 to 882 of the family's 1533-position model. Lineage: Bacteria; Pseudomonadati; Pseudomonadota; Betaproteobacteria; Burkholderiales; Oxalobacteraceae. The record is from RNAcentral.
UGUGGGGGCCCUUUCGGGAGGCAGCAGUGGGGAAUUUUGGACAAUGGGCGCAAGCCUGAUCCAGCAAUGCCGCGUGAGUGAAGAAGGCCUUCGGGUUGUAAAGCUCUUUUGUCAGGGAAGAAACGGCUGCGGCUAAUAUCUGCGGCUAAUGACGGUACCUGAAGAAUAAGCACCGGCUAACUACGUGCCAGCAGCCGCGGUAAUACGUAGGGUGCAAGCGUUAAUCGGAAUUACUGGGCGUAAAGCGUGCGCAGGCGGUUUUGUAAGUCUGACGUGAAAGCCCCGGGCUCAACCUGGGAAUUGCGUUGGAGACUGCAAGGCUUGAAUCUGGCAGAGGGGGGUAGAAUUCCACGUGUAGCAGUGAAAUGCGUAGAGAUGUGGAGGAACACCGAUGGCGAAGGCAGCCCCCUGGGUCAAGAUUGACGCUCAUGCACGAAAGCGUGGGGAGCAAACAGGAUUAGAUACCCUGGUAGUCCACGCCCUAAACGAUGUCUACUAGUUGUCGGGUUUUAAUUAACUUGGUAACGCAGCUAACGCGUGAAGUAGACCGCGUGGGAGAUC